GUCGUGGCCAGCAGGACCAGGGCAAUGACCGUCCCCUGUACUGGGGCACCUCCAAUCCCGGGGAUUAAAGAAGUGCAACAGUGUCCAAGGAUUCAAAGGCAAGGUGGGAAAAGAAAAAAAAGUUUUUUACCUCAUUGGCAGAGAAUUUAAGGUGUAACAGCCAGCGUGUCCCUCCAAGGCAGCACCUGAGUGGGUCAUGUCUGUGACAUUCUCUAAGGAAGAUGCCUCCUCUGGAUCACUUUCUUAGUGACCACAUUGAGCCAUCCUGGUAGAGCUGAGAGCCACCAUGCAGUCUGGAUCCUGAGUCCUGGGUUUAUUCUGGACUUGGUUGUGCUGGUUCCCUGUGGAGAACUCUGACCACCCUUCCAAGAUACUCUGUGACUGGUUUCUUUUCUCAGAGACUGAGUUAGAGGAAAUAUUUCACAGAGCAGUAGCUGGGCAAAUGCAAAUCCUCCUUGCAGAGUUCUCUUAACUUCAAGUCACUAAAUACACAUUUAGUCUAUGGAACUGUAUUUACUUCCCCUCUCAGAGGAACAAGCUUUGUCAGCUGUAAUGAUGAGCUGUUGUUUGACGUUCAUAAUAUUGUACUUCACUGCUUAUCUGAUGGAGCCCCGCACAGCUAUUUAGGGGGUUCUGAAAUGUGACAGCCCACAUGAUGCUUUUUUAGACUUCACAAACC
RNAcentral lists this long non-coding RNA (679 nucleotides) under Chloebia gouldiae (Gouldian finch). RNAcentral describes it as "Erythrura gouldiae (Gouldian finch) lncRNA (ENSEGOG00005006981.1)". The record is from RNAcentral. Lineage: Eukaryota; Metazoa; Chordata; Aves; Passeriformes; Passeridae.